ACAAUUCAAUCAAAUUUCAUUGGUUUAACAACAACGUUUUCAUCAUUCCCACAAUUCAAUCAAAUUCCAUGGGUUUAAGAGCAGCGUUUUCAUCAUUCACUCAAUUCAAUCAAAUUUUAAUGGUUUUAAGAGCAACAAUUUCAUCAUUCCCACAAUUUAAUCAAUUUUCACGGGUUUAACAGUAACAUUUUCAUCAUUCCCACAAUUCAAUCAAAUUUCAUUGGUUUAACAACAACGUUUUCAUCAUUCCCUCAAUUCAAUCAAAUUCCAUGGGUUUAAUAGCAGAAUUUUCAUCAUUCACUCAAUUCAAUCAAAUUUUAAUGGUUUUAAGAGCAACAAUUUCAUCAUUCCCACAAUUCAAUCAAUUUUCACGGGUUUAACUAUAACAUUUUCA
This 394-nucleotide long non-coding RNA is filed under the name Lathyrus oleraceus (garden pea). RNAcentral describes it as "Pisum sativum (pea) long non-coding RNA (PSAT_LNC038847)". The record is from RNAcentral. Lineage: Eukaryota; Viridiplantae; Streptophyta; Magnoliopsida; Fabales; Fabaceae.